CAGAUGUCGGCUUCCUUCAGGGACAGCAGUUCUUCCGUGGACAUUCGGGCGAGUACACCGCAAAGCACUUCCAAGUCUCUUUGCGUCAUCGCAAACGCUGAAAAAGGCUGGGGCGAGCUUCCUAUAGCAUCAGCAUCGACCAGCUGCCUACAGAAUGCGGGACGACCAUGCCAAGUACUUCGUCACUGAUGGCCAGAUCCCUUAGGAAGAGUCCACGAUCAUGGACAGAACGCUGUACAGUGGUGUCACGCAACGUGGCGACGAUCCUGCUCCAGAAAACUCGUCCACUGAACUUGCAUCACAAAUGGAAUCCUCCAGCUGGCUUGGCUCGACGACCUCCGUGCUGCUUUCCGUGCUUGUGCUUUGUCGAUGCACGACUGGUGUUCUGUGUGUGUCAUUCACCAAAAAAAGAGCACGCGAAACACUUUUGAGCUUCAAAUAUUCCUCACAGCUUUGUAGAAUAUUGUUUGCAUGAAAUGAACAUGGGCUGUUGCUUUAUUAAAGCAACGCAAAAUUACGUAGGACAACUUGAGAAAUAAGAUCUUUCAGUUGAAUUUUCAAAAUAUGUGCCAUGCAGUAAUGCAAAUACGCACUGAAGCCACAAUACAUUGAACUCAGUGCAAUUCCAGCGCAGUUAUUUGGUUCUGUUCCCAUACGACUCCAUUUACCUUUUAAAGGGACCCUGAAACGAUUUUGACGAUUUUCUACAAACGUACGGAGUCGUUAGAGUAGGUCCUUCUGAUCAUUAAUUGACGCAUAUAAGUGCUCCGUGUAAAGCGUGUAAUUUAUUAUAAGGUUUUCAAAAUGCACAUCGCUGCCGAUCGCAGCACGCUGCUCGGCGGAAUUUUAAGCCGCCCCUACCCAUAUGACGGCAAUCACCCAUAUGACGUCAGUGGGGCGAGCUAUCCGAUUGGCUGACCAGGGCGCGUGAUCGAUAAUUUUUCCAGCAUUAUGGUAAACAAUGAUCUUUGUAAUAGUUGGAAUGUUAGUUCAUUUGUUUUUAUAAAAAGAAAGUAACAUAAAGAGAAUGCACAAGAACACUUUUUCAGUACACUUAAGUAC
This is a long non-coding RNA of Dermacentor albipictus, 1062 nucleotides long. RefSeq lists it as uncharacterized. The record is from RefSeq and is a predicted model, not a curated record. NCBI's taxonomy places the organism in Eukaryota, Metazoa, Arthropoda, Arachnida, Ixodida, Ixodidae.